RNAcentral lists this unclassified non-coding RNA (271 nucleotides) under Rickettsia conorii subsp. israelensis. Lineage: Bacteria; Pseudomonadati; Pseudomonadota; Alphaproteobacteria; Rickettsiales; Rickettsiaceae. The record is from RNAcentral.
CUGUGAGAUUACAUAUGCAUAUAGUGUUAAUGUUAUAAGAGUGUAGUAUCUACUCACAAAGUUAUCAGGUUAAAUAGUUUUAUCAUAUCUAAUAAAAAUGUUAUUGCAUAACUAAUGUUAUAUACUGUAGCCCUGCCACGAUAUCCAGCGAGAAUUAUUUUGCAUGAGUAUCGUAGUAAAAGUUAAGAUAUGAUGUUGAGAAUUUUUUUGAGUCGUGCAACAAUAUUAACAGCAAACUAUAAUACAAAUCUAUCUUUUUAAAAGUUUGUAU